Molecule: long non-coding RNA, 610 nt
Filed under: Rattus norvegicus (Norway rat)
Lineage: Eukaryota; Metazoa; Chordata; Mammalia; Rodentia; Muridae
Description: long non-coding RNA NONRATT017850
Source: RNAcentral
AAUAGUAUCAAAAUUAAUAAAGUAAGAAGUGAAAAUGAGAGACAUAACAAUAGAAACUGAGGAAAUUCAAAAUACCAUCAGAUCCUACUACAAAAGCUGGAGACAAAACUGGAAAAUUUAGAUGAAAUGGAUGACUUUCUAGACAGAUACCAGGAACCAAAGUUAAAUCAAAAGAAAGUUUUCAAUUUAAUCAGACCCAUAGCUCCUAAGGAAAUAGAAGUAUUAAAAACCUCCCAAACAAGCAAACAAAAAGCUCAGAGCUUUAGUGUGGAAUUCUACCAGACCUACAAACAAGAGCUAAUACCAAUACUCCUCAAAUUAUUCCAUGAAAUAGAAACAGAAGUAAUACUAACUAAUUCAUUCUAUGAAGCCACAACUACUCUAAUACUUAAUCAACACAAGAAUCAAACAAAAAAAGAGAACUUCAGACCAAUUUCACUUAUGAAUAUUGGUGCAAAAAUAAUAAAAUUCUUGCAAAUUAAAUCCAUGAAGACAUCAAUACCAUCAUUCACCAUGAUCAAGCAGUCUUUAUUCCAGGGAUGCAAGGUUGGUUCAACAUACAAAAAUCAUUAACAUAAUUCACUAUGUAAACAAACUCAAAGGAAAAAAA